CAGCCGCCGCGGUAAUACAGAGGGUGCGAGCGUUAAUCGGAUUUACUGGGCGUAAAGCGUGCGUAGGCGGCUUUUUAAGUCGGAUGUGAAAUCCCUGAGCUUAACUUAGGAAUUGCAUUCGAUACUGGGAAGCUAGAGUAUGGGAGAGGAUGGUAGAAUUCCAGGUGUAGCGGUGAAAUGCGUAGAGAUCUGGAGGAAUACCGAUGGCGAAGGCAGCCAUCUGGCCUAAUACUGACGCUGAGGUACGAAAGCAUGGGGAGCAAACAGGAUUAGAGACCCCUGUAGUCCCUGUCUCUUAUAC
This 301-nucleotide ribosomal RNA is filed under the name uncultured bacterium. RNAcentral describes it as "partial 16S ribosomal RNA". It matches the Rfam family "Bacterial small subunit ribosomal RNA", at positions 509 to 807 of the family's 1533-position model. The record is from RNAcentral.